RNAcentral lists this non-coding RNA (29 nucleotides) under Mus musculus (house mouse). Lineage: Eukaryota; Metazoa; Chordata; Mammalia; Rodentia; Muridae. The record is from RNAcentral.
UNGAAAACCAUUAGGAUAUAUUCGUCAGG